This is an RNA transcript of Oryzias latipes (Japanese medaka), 1541 nucleotides long. It is a transcript of the gene named coiled-coil-helix-coiled-coil-helix domain containing 6a, with no coding region annotated. The record is from RefSeq and is a predicted model, not a curated record. Lineage: Eukaryota; Metazoa; Chordata; Actinopteri; Beloniformes; Adrianichthyidae.
CAACCCGCAUCCCAUCUGUCACACAUUCUGUCAUUGGACAGGGGCUUAACGGAAUUCUUUGAUAGUACUAUCAGUAUUUUCAUUAAAGAGGGGGGGCUCAUUCUAACAAACGGCAUGGGCUUAGGGGAAAGUACGACCAGAAAAGUGUCUUAUGGCGUGGAUGAGGAGGACAGAGUCCGGAUCCUUCGCGGAGUAAAGCUGUCAGAAGAUGUUCUUCAGAGGAUGCGAGGAGUAGCCAACAUCAGUCAAUCAUCACUGUCCUCAGGCCCUCAAGGAGACAAAGGUUCCUCUCCUGGCUCUAGCUCUGCCUCUCAGUCCAGGCAGAAGCCAGAGUCCCGAGCGCCGUCCAGCAAACCAGCGUCCACUGCUAAAGAAGAUCAGAGAAGGUUUGAACGGCAGCAGGCGAUACUGAAGGAGGAGCUGGCCAAGAUUACCCAGAGAGAAAAGGAGCUGGCAGACGAGAAGACCAAAGCCUCCAUCCAGGAACGACAACACGCCCGCCAGGAGUCUGAGAAGACUAAACAACUGCUUGCUGAAGAAAUGGAAGUGAGGGCUCUGCAGCUGCAAAAGAAAGACCUGCAGCUGAAAGCUCUGGAAGCCUUCUACCAGGAGCAGCUGGCACAGCUGGAGAAGAAGAACUUGGAGAGAUAUGCAGAAAGCAAAGAGCAGUUCCACCAAGCUGCCUCCAAAACAGAAGCCAACAUCAGGUCUUGCAGUACAGCUCCAGUGUGUUCUGGCCUGCAGGCUCAGAUUUUAUCUUGUUACAGAGACAACAGAGACCAGACCCUAAAGUGCUCAGACCUGGCCAAGGAAUACCUGCAAUGUAUAAACGCUGCAAGAAAGACUCCUCAGCAUGUUGGGCAGCAGCAGGCGAACGGCAGCAGCUGAUUGCGUGGCGGUUUAGCCGUGGCGAGUGAUUUUUAAGCGUGGACCCAUGCUGACUUGGGCCCCACUUCACUUGGAAGGUCUCCACAGACGAUGCACUGAUCAGUCCAGGAAGAUUUCUGCUUUCUGAGUCUGCCGGUCAGCCGCGGAUGAAGAUGGAGAAGAAAAGGGUAAAAUCUUUGUUUAACCAAGACUUCAGUUAAGGCACUAAAAGCAGCUUUUUUGCUGUAAUUCGCUGUUUAAAUAGUAUUAAAGUUAAUUUGCUGUUAGCAUGCUGUGCUUUUUGAAAAAAGAAAAAAAAUCCUUGAAGCUGUUGUGCGAAUUCCUGUGUUAUUCCAUGAAUCUGCACUGCUACAUUUUUCAGGGAAACUGCAAAAAGAAAAAAGAAAACACUGCAAACGAAUUAGUCUUCUGCUGAGUGUGAAGAUUUAGUUUACGUCCAAACCGCUGCUGCUUUUGAAAAAAAGAAGAAAAAAGGAACGAAUGCAAAGACCUCACAGACGAAGAAGUAAUUCACCUUUACUUCUUAUGACUUUUGCUGUUUUAUCUAUUUUUUCUGCAACAAGAAAGGAAUACACUCUGGUGAUCAUGAUUGCAUCUUUAUGUUAUCAGAAGUGUUACUGAAGUUUUAUUAAAACAUUCAUACCCGCUGACAA